Molecule: unclassified non-coding RNA, 368 nt
Filed under: soil metagenome
Description: partial contains 5.8S ribosomal RNA, internal transcribed spacer 2, and large subunit ribosomal RNA
Rfam family: 5.8S ribosomal RNA (bases 1-120)
Source: RNAcentral
GAUGAAGAACGUAGCGAAGUGCGAUAAGUAAUGUGAAUUGCAGAAUUCCGUGAAUCAUCGAAUCUUUGAACGCAAAUUGCACUUUCUGGUAUUCCGGAAAGUAUGCCUGUUUGAGGGUCAGUUAAAUAAAAAUCGGUGUUGUUGCUGCUUUUCGUGGUGACGCAUCGGAAUUGGGUCGUCUUACCUUCGGUUAAGUGACUUAAAAUUUUUUAUGAUUUUGAACGUAUUUAAAUUUUUUUGUACGUUUGAGAUAUCGAAUGUUUUAUUAGGUUCGGUCAUCCUCAUGACUCGCGCCUAUAAUUUUCAUUAAAUGACCUCAAAUCAGGUAAGAAUACCCGCUGAACUUAAGCAUAUCAAUAAGCGGAGGA